CGGCGGACGGGUGAGUAACGCGUGGGUAACCUGCCUCAUACAGGGGGAUAACAGUUGGAAACGGCUGCUAAUACCGCAUAAGCGCACAGUACCGCAUGGCACCGUGUGAAAAACUCCGGUGGUAUGAGAUGGACCCGCGUCUGAUUAGCUAGUUGGUGGGGUAACGGCCUACCAAGGCGACGAUCAGUAGCCGACCUGAGAGGGUGACCGGCCACAUUGGGACUGAGACACGGCCCAA
This 238-nucleotide ribosomal RNA is filed under the name uncultured bacterium. RNAcentral's name for it is "partial 16S ribosomal RNA". It matches the Rfam family "Bacterial small subunit ribosomal RNA", at positions 96 to 334 of the family's 1533-position model. The record is from RNAcentral.